CCUCAAUAAAACCUGUGAGAGACACAGCAGAGAUUUUAGAGUGGAUGGACAAAUAUACUGAAUAUUUAAUCUACUGUGGAACUGAACUGCAGCUUAUCAAAAUGAAGCAGUUGUGUCUCUCCAGCGUGCAGGAGCUGAAGUUGA
Long non-coding RNA from Myripristis murdjan (pinecone soldierfish), 144 nucleotides. RefSeq lists it as uncharacterized. NCBI's taxonomy places the organism in Eukaryota, Metazoa, Chordata, Actinopteri, Holocentriformes, Holocentridae. The record is from RefSeq and is a predicted model, not a curated record. The transcript has 2 exons.